Molecule: long non-coding RNA, 1423 nt
Organism: Thunnus maccoyii (southern bluefin tuna)
Lineage: Eukaryota; Metazoa; Chordata; Actinopteri; Scombriformes; Scombridae
Exons: 4
Source: RefSeq, a predicted model, not a curated record
GAGGGGGAAGAAGUAUACACUUAUUUAUUUCUACCUCUCUCUCAACUACUCAUCCAUAAACUCAUAUUUACAAUUUAUAAACAAAUAUCCAAAUACUAUGUAUAACCCCAAUACAAUUUAACUCAACUCUCUAUUCAAUAAUCGUUUAAUUGGCAAAUUAUUUCAGCACUAAUCACAGUUUUAUUAUCAUUCAAAGAAAGACUUGACAACACUGAAUCCAAUCAUGAGAGAUCUAAUGAUCGAUUAUCGGUUCUAUUAACAAUUAGUUAUUUUCCUGUUUCUCUUGUAGUCUAUUGAUGACGUGUUAUUACAGUAUUUAACACCACAGUCGCGUCCCAUCAUCACCAAAUCUGUCAUCCCUUAUCUAGGCUUCCUAACAUCAAGGUGGACUAAUCUGUCCUUCCCAAAGGCAGCAUGAGGAGGAUGAAGAAGAAGAAGAGGAGGAGUAGGAGGAUGAGGAGGAGAAGGAGGAGGAGGAGGAGGGAGUAGGCUUCAAGCGCAGUGAUGAAGUAGAUAAAUAAGGAAAGCAGAGGAUGUUCCGCAUUUCACAUCUCAACCGUCCCGACAUGUGUUUGUGUGUGUACAGUUUGUGCUUUACAGUGGUGGUCCUGUAGAGAGCGGUAGAUAGUUUUAAUAAGUGGUCACACAGCAGCACUGCCCUUACUGUACUGUACAUAAGCAGAGGGAGGAGCGACCGUGUAGUAUUUCUUUUUGGUUCUUUCCCCCUCUGUCUUUGCAGCCCAUCCAAACGCUAUUGGAAAGCAGCAAGAGAGGAAAAAAAGGGGGGAAACAACAAACUACUCAUUUUCACGCAAUAGCUUUUGCAGGAAGAAGGAGGGAGAUAAUUUUUGACGGUACGAGGCGCAGCACCUUUUGGCGGAGGGACCGGGCUCGGAGAGAGAGAGAGAGAGAGAGAAGAGAAGAGAGAGAGGGGGGGACGUGUAGCCAUCCAGCGCCGCCGCUACACUUGUGCAGAAACCGGAGGAGCCCCGCUGACCUUCUCCCGCUUCAUUUCCGCCUAAUGCCCGCAUAUCCAAGCCGUACUGGUGUCCUGACCGCGUGGGGGUAACCGACGAGUUCACUGAGACCUGUGUUGGGAUGAAAGCCUGGAUCAAAUGUAAAGAAACAACACUGACGUGAAGACAACCGAGGGCGGACACAAGGCGGACCACACAACGCAGGAGGCCUGGGGAAAUCAUUAACGGCACACAAACACACACACAAAAUGACUGAGUGGAUCACUCCUCACUCUCCGCAUCCCUGAGAGACCCACAUCCACCUCCAGCCGCGGCCCCGGGGCCAUCCGAUUUACCCCCCUGCAGAAUCUCCGACAUAUUCCGUAUCUUGCAGCUUCACGCCGAGCCACACAACACCGACCUCACGAGGGGGUCCGCUCCCUCUGGCGAACCACCCUCCCCCACAC